CGCGUAGGCGGCUUUAUAAGUCAGAUGUGAAAUCCCACGGCUCAACUGUGGAAGUGCAUUUGAAACUGUGAGGCUUGAGUAUCGGGGGGGAGUGUGGAAUUCCCGGUGUAGAGGUGAAAUUCGUAGAGAUCGGGAGGAACACCGGUGGCGAAGGCGACACUCUGGACGAAUACUGACGCUGAGGCGCGAAAGCGUGGGGAGCAAACA
This 207-nucleotide ribosomal RNA is filed under the name uncultured bacterium. RNAcentral describes it as "partial 16S ribosomal RNA". It matches the Rfam family "Bacterial small subunit ribosomal RNA", at positions 568 to 774 of the family's 1533-position model. The record is from RNAcentral.